UGGGGAAUUUUGGACAAUGGGCGAAAGCCUGAUCCAGCAAUGCCGCGUGUGUGAAGAAGGCCUUCGGGUUGUAAAGCACUUUUGUCCGGAAAGAAAUCCUUGGCUCUAAUACAGUCGGGGGAUGACGGUACCGGAAGAAUAAGCACCGGCUAACUACGUGCCAGCAGCCGCGGUAAUACGUAGGGUGCAAGCGUUAAUCGGAAUUACUGGGCGUAAAGCGUGCGCAGGCGGUUUGCUAAGACCGAUGUGAAAUCCCCGGGCUCAACCUGGGAACUGCAUUGGUGACUGGCAGGCUAGAGUAUGGCUGAGGGGGGUAGAAUUCCACGUGUAGCAGUGAAAUGCGUAGAGAUGUGGAGGAAUACCGAUGGCGAAGGCAGCCCCCUGGGCCAAUACUGACGCUCAUGCACGAAAGCGUGGGGAGCAAACAGGAUUAGAUACCCUGGUAGUCCACGCCCUAAACGAUGUCAACUAGUUGUUGGGGAUUCAUUUCCUUAGUAACGUAGCUAACGCGUGAAGUUGACCGCCUGGGGAGUACGGUCGCAAGAUUAAAACUUAAAUGAAUUGACGGGGUCAUAGCUGUUUCCU
RNAcentral lists this ribosomal RNA (585 nucleotides) under uncultured bacterium. RNAcentral's name for it is "partial 16S ribosomal RNA". It matches the Rfam family "Bacterial small subunit ribosomal RNA", at positions 355 to 1375 of the family's 1533-position model. The record is from RNAcentral.